GAGAGUCAGCUUGCUUGCAUUCUAGAAACGGUAGCUUUCGCGCCCUUCCUGCCUGCUGAAAUUGAUUGAAUGAUCGUGACAGCUCUUCAAAUCCUAUUCAGUCUGAUUAGAUAUGUCACUGAAACAAUCCGUUCUGUCUCUGUUUUAUUUGCGGAUUCCGAGGAUGAGCCGGCCGAUCCUAACAUCUUUAUCUGAGGAGCCGGUCGACGAAGCCUCCUCCUCAGAUAAAGAUGUCUCCGACGCUACUCUCUCGGCAAGAACAACUUUAUCUAUUGUUAUUUUUUUGGCGGGUUCGGUCAGGAGAGACAAAAGAGAGAUUUUCUAUCAGUCAAAAGCAGAUAGCGCCCCCCCAUGCUCCCACGGUCCGCUUACCGAGGAAUAGAAAGGGAGGACCCGGGGCCAGAGCAAGUUGGGUUGGGGUAUAGAGCCGUAAGCGCGAUGGGGGGUGACAGAGGACGUGCUCGUACGGUUCAUAGAAGGGUAUGAUCAACUCGUUGAUUGUUGGGAACUUUUACUCCUCUAUAUUCGAAAUAUGCCUUUCUAGGAGCAUUACGAUCUGCAGCUCAAAUGGUCUCUUAUGAAGUCUCUAUUGGUCUUAUUCUUAUUGUGCGCCUUGUGAGCGCGUUUGGAUCCGCGAAGGCAAUCGCUCGGAUGUUCCCCUAACCCAACCCGGGAACGGACCGGAGGGAACCGCAGCAUGGGGAAUGUCCGCGUCUCGUCGCAAGGCUCAUUUUUAGUUGUGGGUCAUAGGGCGGGCUUCGGGCGGGCAGCUUUAUCUGAUCAAGGGCCGGGGCACAAGGGUCCUGGUACUAUCCAGGUGCGAAGAACCCCGGAGGUGACUGCAAUGAGCAGAAAUAUCACUCACCGGCCUAAACGACGAGCAAACACUCGAACGUGAGAGCAAGGGAUCACCCAACGAAUGGACGAGCUCCAAGGAGGUAGGAGAGAGGGAGGCAAAAACCAUGCUUUCAGAGAAGUGGCGGUCCGAAUCUUAUCUGAACUGCGAGAAUAACUGACUAAGCCGUGCCAUAAGGCCCAUUCUCCAACUCCAAACGGGACGGGGCCAAGCCUUUAGGUUGUUUAAGGAGGUUGGGUGACAGAUCGGCCAUAGGAGUACUCCGGGAUAUAAACAAGGGCAAAAAAUUUCGAGCAUACGACGAUGCCGCCCGUUUUCAUUUCAUGGAAGUCCCCGGCAGAGGAAAGGGCUGUAGGUGAUGGCGCGUUUUGCUUCUUAUCUGGAGAGGGGCGCUGAAAUCGUUCCUAUUGGGUCGUGCGUGGCAGCGAGUAUAGAUGAAUAAGGGUGGGCGGCCGCUUGAACGGGACCUAUUCUCUUAAUAGGCGGCAAAGCUGAAUAGGAAAGGGGCCGAGCUGACUGAUGAGUGCCUUUUUAGCCUUUUUCUAAAGGCUCUCAUGUGAAGCUAACAUGGCUGGCUACAUACAAGUAUAGCCAAAUCAAGAUGAGACGGGACGGACGGUCAGAGGCCGCAGCGGGACUACCAUAGGAAAGCCCGCCCCCGCUAGCUAACAUAGAAAGAUAUUCCCGGAUAACAGUAGUCUCUAUGUGAAUCUCUUCCCGACCAGGCCAGGCCGAAUCGGGCCACCACUUGGGAUGGGAAUGGCUCAGCCCACAUGCAUCAUUUGAUGAAAGCACUCCAGUCCAGUCGCCUCCUCGAAGUGGCUUGUCAACCACGCUUUCCCUCCCUCAAAAUAAUGCUCCUCACAAAAUGCCCUUCCUUGGGUUGGGGCAACACAGCAAUGAGUAGUUCGCUCCAGGACUCCACUCCCUCGAGAGCAGGAUGCCGGCCGAGAUGGAGCUGGGAGCCAACCUAGACUUUCCUGGGGCUUGCCUUGCCCCAACACCUAAAGAAAAGGCGGGCGCCGAAAAGGAAACAGCCCAGCCUCUUCAAGAAAGCUUUGCUUGGUAGGCGCUGCCUACUCACUCCGACAAUGCUCUGAACACGAAAGUGUGCAGUUCCGCCCCCUUCUCCCAUGCUGAGUCACAGGUAGCGCCUCAGAAAGCACGGACGAGCCACAUGCAGGGAAACUUGCACGUGUGGUUCUGGCCGGGGACCCCGGUAUACUGUACUAAUAUGUGUAGGUUCUUGUAAUUUGAGUGAGAUUGUCAUGGCGCAAAAGCAGAUAUGGUUUGGUAUUCCCUUGUUCCCUGUAUUGGUUAUGUUCUUUAUUUCUUGUCUAGCAGAAACUAAUCGAGCUCCGUUUGAUCUCCCAGAAGCGGAAGCUGAAUUAGUUGCAGGCUAUAAUGUAGAAUAUGCGCGGGAUGCGAUCCUUAAUAGUCCACUGUUGGCGGAAGCCAAUGUCCCGGGGUCCCGGGGACUCAUUCUGACUGAAACAAGGGGUGGGUCUUUACCAAUUUUGAAAAUAUUCGAUUUUAGGGAAGCCAAAAAACGUGAGCGCCUAGCACGAGCCUUAUUGAAUAUUGAAAAGGCCCCUUACUAUAGAUAAAGCCCCUGCAAUCAAACUCAAGGAAAGCCUUUUGACAACCUUACUAAUAGAAAGGGGAAAAAUGCGCUCAAACAACCUAUCUUACUAAUAAUAGGGUCGUUGUAAAGCUACAGCUCGAAAGCCGGCCUUACCUUCUAUUCUAUUAGUAAAGGGCUUUUCUUGCUUGUUUAGUAAAGUCACGCUUUUCAUUUUGAUAGGAGUAGGUGCUUUCUGGGGCAGGGCACUCUUCAUUCUUCAUUCGAAACUAAUGAAUGUCCGGUCGGGGGUUUCUGCCUUGUUAUCAAAAAGGGAGUUGGGUAAAGCAAACUCCCUCCUUGGACGAGCACGAGGCUUAGUCAAGUAGAACCGGGUUGCGUUGCUUGAUGCUCCGAUCGAAAACAAAUCAGUGGGGCCAUGCCGGUACGACUGAAUAUGCGUUAGAAAGGUCAAUCCCUCCCCUACGACACCAAAAAAAACCGGGCCGAACUUCUACCCGCCCGCUUCCAUAGAACAAUAUCGUGGCAACGUAGACCUAAGUGGUAUCAUAUCAUAUUGGAUCCUUGGGAACCAUCACAAGUACGGCCGGCCUAUAUUUGAACGAAAAUGCCGUGUCGUCCAGCGGAGCCUAGAAGAAGGUGACUCGCGCAGACAGCUGACUCCUUUUCAAUAGAAAGGAAUAGCCAAACCAACCCAGCUGUCUGGUCAAUCUCAGAGAUCUUAUCGGCCGGCAAACUGGAGACGGACGACCACGGUCCCGACCUUACCAGCACCAGAGGUGUACUAAUCAAUGAACUCCCGAAACCUACUUUCUUUUCUGACAAAAUCAACCAAGCCUAACUGGUCACGACAUGUUGUUGAUAUUGAUUGAGUUUGAGGGACUUUCGCUGACUGAAUUCAUCCAUAAACCCAGACCCCCGUAACCUUCGUAACCAAAGCGUCACGACAACAUCCAAAGGUGACUUUUGGAUUCUUAAGUAGGGGGCGGCAAGGAGGAGCACGUAGGAAUGCCGACCACUACUUAAGCCACUUGUGGCUGAGAGAAAGCGAGUAGCACCUUGUAUAGGUUGGGCGGAGCUUGAAGAAGGUAGCCCCUCUCAGAGAAAGCCAUUGCGCGCUAGCUUAGCUAGCUAGCGUUUUUCAGCUGGCUAUUAUGUUAGUUGUAGCGCGCCUUCCCUCCUUCUCUCACUUCGGAAAGAUUUUGCAGUAUUUUCUUAUGAUGACCUGGUCGAGGGAGUACGAUACAUCGGUGUAAAAGAUUGAGUGGGAUCUGUGAAGUUGGUUAUAGUAAGGCCUGACCGGUUGGGAAAGCGAUAUGGACAGGUCAACCCUGGUCGAUGUCCCGUGUUAACGGUAGCAUCGAUAUCUCGGGUUAGUCACCGAGACGCCCCCCCAUGGUGGGACAAGUUCCCCAUAAUUUAGGAGAGUUGUUGUCGACAUUGGCUUAGCGCAAUAGUCUUUGAUCUGGGAUACGGACUUCGGAGGGGAGUCACUUCCGAGUCGUCCAGCUGGCAACAUGGCGGAUGUCAGGCUGUAAAUGUAUAAAAAAAAACUAUGACUCACUAGUUCUUUCAAGUAUUACUGCGCUCAGUGUCGACUUCAUGGCGUGGGAUCUUUGAAGGUCCCAAGACCAUUAUCGCGGUCUUAAAUGAGGCCACGCUUUUGGUCUUCGACGAUUACACCAAGGAGAGAUGCAUCGCUGCAUUCCUUCUAGCCAAGAAGGUAUACUGGUUAAGGGUGAAAGAAGUCUUUUUAUUAAAGGCUCUUUAUCUAAAGCAGUGUGCCUCUGCGCUGCCACAGCAGCAGAUCGGUAUCUCGGCUCCUCCUCCAGUCCAGCUGUUCUCCACUGGUGCUUUUUCACCGUCAUGGCAGUUUCAAGGGCCACCACUUUCAGCCGCACCACAUCUUCCCUGGCCACAAUCCUCCCGUUCCACUCUGCAUAACUCGAACCCAGCAUUAUAAAGGACUGCUCUAUCAGAUUCUCGCUCGUCCUGGACUUCCUCAACAUCCCCAACACCAACUUUCUCCGUACAACCCUUACACGGUAAUCUCUCUUCCUCUUCACAUCUUUCUGUUGAUCCCUUCAUGUCCCAUGCUAUGUUUUUUUCUCACCCCUCUAUCCCUAAUUUCACAAUAGUAAUUGCCUUACGUCUAGAUAAUUCCAAUUAUUUGUAUUGGCGGGACCGGCUUCAUUUCUAU
Molecule: unclassified non-coding RNA, 4638 nt
Filed under: Hevea brasiliensis (rubber tree)
Lineage: Eukaryota; Viridiplantae; Streptophyta; Magnoliopsida; Malpighiales; Euphorbiaceae
Source: RNAcentral